GGAGUUAGCCGGUGCUUCUUCUGCGAGUAACGUCACAGAUGUAAGGUAUUAACUUACACCCUUUCCUCCUCGCUGAAAGUGCUUUACAACCCGAAGGCCUUCUUCACACACGCGGCAUGGCUGCAUCAGGGUUUCCCCCAUUGUGCAAUAUUCCCCACUGCUGCCUCCCGUAGGAGUCUGGGCCGUGUCUCAGUCCCAGUGUGGCUGAUCAUCCUCUCAGACCAGCUAGGGAUCGUCGCCUAGGUGAGCCUUUACCUCACCUACUAGCUAAUCCCACCUGGGCUUAUCCAUCAGCGCAAGGCCCGAAGGUCCCCUGCUUUCCCCCGUAGGGCGUAUGCGGUAUUAGCAGUCGUUUCCAACUGUUAUCCCCCACAAAUGGGCAAAUUCCCAGGCAUUACUCACCCGUCCGCCGCUCGUCAUCUUCAAAAGCAAGCUUUUGAAAUGUUACCGCUCGACUUGCAUGUGUUAGGCCUGCCGCCAGCGUUCAUCUGAGCCGAGAUACAACUACUGA
RNAcentral lists this ribosomal RNA (511 nucleotides) under uncultured bacterium. RNAcentral's name for it is "partial 16S ribosomal RNA". The record is from RNAcentral.